CCUACGGGAGGCAGCAGUAGGGAAUCUUCCACAAUGGGCGAAAGCCUGAUGGAGCAACACCGCGGGGGUGAAGAAGGUCUUCGGAGCGUAAAACCCUGUUGGUAGAGAAGAAAGGGCGUGAGAGUAACUGUUCACGUGUCGACGGUAUCGAACCAGAAAGCCAAGGCUAACUACGUGCCAGCAGCCGCGGUAAUACGUAGGUGGCAAGCGUGAUCCGGAUUGAUUGGGCGUAAAGGGAACGCAGGCGGUCGGUUAAGGCUGAUGUGAAAGCCUUCGGCUUAACCGGAGUAGUGCAUUGGAAACUGGGAGACUUUAGUGCAGCAGAGGCGAGUGGAACUCCCUGUGUAGCGGU
This 352-nucleotide ribosomal RNA is filed under the name uncultured bacterium. RNAcentral describes it as "partial 16S ribosomal RNA". It matches the Rfam family "Bacterial small subunit ribosomal RNA", at positions 338 to 682 of the family's 1533-position model. The record is from RNAcentral.